CAUGAAAAAGAUAAUGUCACACUUCACAAAAAGGAAAUCCAAAUGGCUAGUUGAUAUGUAAAAAGGUCCUCAACAGCGUCAGUAAUCAGGGAGAUGCAACUUAAAACUACAAUGACACACUACCACACACUCACCAGACAGGCAAAACUAAAGAGUGAGGGUGUAGUUGAGGGUGUGGAGCAAGGGGAUUCAUACAUGGUUGGUGUGAGUAUAACACUUUAGAAAACAGCUUGGCGUUAUUUAUUCAAGUUUAUGACACACAUUACCACUCCCAGGUAUAUACUAUACAGAAACUGAUAUAGAUGUGAUGGAAUACAUCUAUGAAGAAUGUUCACAGCACCAUUUAUAACAGCCCCAAACUGGAAACAACCUAGACGUCCAUCAACAAUAGAACAGCUAAAUAAAUUAUGGCAUAUUGCUACAAUGGAACACUGUAAUAUGCAGCAAUUAAAAUGAACAAAUUACAGCUAUAUGAACCCGAACAACAUACGGAUUAAAAAUGAUGUUGAGCAAAAGCAGUAAGCACAACAGAUUACAUAUUAUGUUGUUCCAUUUAAUAAAGUUCAAAAGAAAGGGCAAAACUAAACAACAUAUUGUUUAGGGAUGCACGCUUGUGACAAAACAAUAGAGAAAAACAAGGAAAUGAUUAUCACAAAAGUUAGAUGGUCAACUCUAAAAGGGAGGGAGAGUUGUGUUCAAGAAGGUCACUGGGGGGGCUUCUGGGGUGCUGGCAAUGUUCCAUUUCUUGACCUGGUGAGUCACACUGAGGUUUCUUUCAUAAUUACUCAUUAUACUGAUUAACUGCUUUAUGCAUUUCAAUGUAUAUUUCACAAUAAAAAUGCGAAAGUAAUUGAAUAUUGUAGAUAGCAUUUCUAGAAAGAAAUUUUGCCAGAUAAUUUAGCUUAUGAAAUCUUUGACAGUAAAAACCACCGAUGUGGGAUAAUAAAACUGAUUAAACAGUCUCUCACAAGAGCUCGCUUUCAAGCGUAGGAGAAAAGAACCCUAUGCAAAUAUCCCUUUGUUAUAUUUUAACAGAGUAUGCAGAUCUUUAUCACAAACAAAUUGAUGAAGCAGGGAAAGAACUCUGUUACCUAAAACUUCAGAAUUUUGAAUGAAUGGUUCUCUCCUCUGGAUUAAUAAGAAAUAAAAGAACUAAAGAGAUGCAGACCAAGUUGGAAAUGCAUGAACUUCCUCCUCUCCAGUCACCAGUCCCAGCUGUUUCCUCCAGUUAGCAUGCUGGGUGGUGAGGUGGGUGGAUCUUGCCCAGUAAGCUUAGCGCAGCUGUUCCUUCGUAAGUAGGUGGCUGAGGGCUCUCCUGAGUGCCAUUCUAUCUCAGCACUAAGGUUCUAAGGUGGAGCCACUGACAAUGAAACCAAAUCAGGCUGCUGAAAAACCAAACGUGGCACACACUUUUCUGGAGGCGUCCUCUGCUGGGCUUCAGAGCUCUGGUGUUUGCUCUCUUUUUAUCUAAAGCCGACAGAAUUUAAAAUCUGAGGUGCUCAGCUUCACAAAAUCCCCUAUAUCUGUGCACUUUACUCCUUCGAUUUCCACCAGCAAAUUAGGAAAAGGGACAAAACUAAAAAAAAUUAUUUUGUAGCCAUAUUGGGCCAUCACUUAGUGGUUUGAUUCCCUAUGAAUCUUAUUUGGAAGGACAUGGCAGGGGAUUGGUCAUGAAAAGACAGUCAAAUCCAGGGUAGUUUAAGCAGGAUAGUUAACCCCGGUCUUGGAACUUUGGAUCAAGGGCAGGCAGGCAGGUGCUACUUUGUGAGUCUCUUCUCACUUGUGCAAUACCCUCCUCCCACCUCCAUCACUUUUUCUGCAGUAUUUUAAUAAAAACGAGCCCUUGGAUUUACCCAGUUAGAAGUUUCCUAGGUCUACUGUUUGCCGAUGGUGGUGGCAGUAACGGUAGAAACCUAGUCUCCCAAAUCUGACUAUAAACACUUGCUCCUUAACCCCUGAGGUGGAAAGACUUGUAAAAUCCAUUACUGCCGCCUGUAGAGGAGGCAGGGUGUGCCAGGGUCCAGCGAAGAACGGUGGAAUCUGCUUCCUUUCAUCGUUGCUGCUGCUUUUAUCUCAUUCUCACACUAUUCACCAGAACAGGUUCAAGCCAGAUUUCUGAGGAUUUUGGUCUUUUUAUCUUAAAAUUUCUUUUCCUAGAGAACUAUACUUUCAACUUCAUGAGUUUUUACUUGAAUUUACUUUCCAGGAUAACAUCUGUAGGAAAAGCUGCAUAAUAGUAAUAAUAUUUAUUUUAGAAAGGAAAUAGCCUUUGAGUCAGACCUGAAACACAGGCCAAAAUUUCUUGAUGACGGUAAUGGACACUGAUUAACCACCAAGACCAGCUCUCCAAAGCUUCAAACGGCAAGCAAGAACGAUUCCUAAAAGUGAGGCACUACUAAAGUCUCCCCUGAAAAACAGCCAAAAAUCCUUCCACAAUCUCAGGCAGGAUGGCUCCCUUCCCUCACCCCGGCAAUUCGUCUCCUUUUUCACUAAAGACUCAGGUUGUGACUCAAGCCGCACCCCCAUUUCCUUUCUCGGGAGGGGGCGGGGAGAGAAGAGAUGUAUUACAACUCUAGUCUUCACAAGGCUAUGCAGUUUACAAAGCGCUUGCAUUUCCAUCAACUCCUCUGAGCUCCGGGAGUGCCACGUGAGGGAGGCAUUCAUUCAUUCACCAAACAUUUGCUCCGCCCGACCACACGUUAUCGGGCGCUGGGUCUCGCCCCACACCUCGGGAAGGGUGGGGUGCGCGCUCUCUGGAGCAGGUGCAGAGGAUCAGGCUGCAGGACAACUCCUCGCUCAGUCCGGCUUUUCGAAGGCCCGUUUGGGGCCAAUUGCCUCACCUUCGGGUUGUGCGCCCGAGCAUGGCCGCGCAGCCUGGGCCUCCUCCUUGCUCCCAAAGGAGCAGUCACCACCUGCCCUGAAGGAAACCGCUAAGAGCAAGCUCUCUCCGCCGCCCUCGGGUCAGGGGUAAGAUCAGGCGGCAGCUUAGGCUCCACUCGGCUCCUCCCCUUCCUCUCUUCAGUUCUGACGCGGCCGUAGAGGCGGCGGCAGCGGCGGCGAGUCCCGCGGCCCGAGUCGCACCCACCCGCUCGCCGAACCCCGACUUCCUCUUCCCUUCGAGCGUCAUCAGAGCGCGUCAGAGUUGCCCAGGGCGGGGUGGUUGGAAAGGGAAAAAAAGGCCA
RNAcentral lists this long non-coding RNA (3182 nucleotides) under Equus asinus (donkey). RNAcentral's name for it is "lncRNA (ENSEASG00005027226.1)". Lineage: Eukaryota; Metazoa; Chordata; Mammalia; Perissodactyla; Equidae. The record is from RNAcentral.